CUAAAUAAGCCUGCACAUGAUCAUGCCGUCUGACUGCUUGGAGAACGGGUUGGGGCAGGAGAUAGAAGGUAUCGUGGGCGAACGGAGCCCAUGGAAGCACCACUCACCAGAUAUCCCUGAGGCUGGGCCUGGAAAAAGACCGACUGAAGCGACCCACUGGCGGCAGCUACGGAAAACCUACCAAACUACUGAAUUAAACCGACGCCUAAGCAAUGAAGCCCAUCGGCUCACUAAACGUCACUAACCAACGAGCGGCUCGCAAACACCAUGAGACUCUCAUGCACAG
Molecule: non-coding RNA, 286 nt
Organism: Pelobates cultripes (western spadefoot toad)
Lineage: Eukaryota; Metazoa; Chordata; Amphibia; Anura; Pelobatidae
Source: the annotation of a GenBank genome assembly